GCCUCCGAGCUCGACGCCGACCUCGGGGCCUCUAGCAGCGGCCACUUGCCACUACUCCUCUGCUCGCGUGACGCGGGCAGAGGGUCGGGGGUCAGCUCUAUCAACUCCCAAGGCGCGCCCCGCGCCGACUCUUGGGGCGUGACCCCAGAGCCCUGCGGGGUCGGGCCCUGGGCAGGCGGUCCGCUCGGCUUGUCCCCCGCGACCAGUUGGGGUGCUGCUCUCGGAUGACGAGCGUGCCCAGCCGGGGGGCCAGAAUGUACUCCUCCUCCUCUUCCUCCUCAUCCUCAUCGUCAUCGUCAUCAUCG
RNAcentral lists this long non-coding RNA (305 nucleotides) under Setaria viridis. RNAcentral describes it as "long non-coding RNA (SVIR_LNC000637)". The record is from RNAcentral. Lineage: Eukaryota; Viridiplantae; Streptophyta; Magnoliopsida; Poales; Poaceae.